ACUUCAACUGCCUUUUUCAUAAUAAACAAGUCUUUCGCCUUUUUCUAAAGACUUCUGUCGAGAAGAAUGCCAAGGAAUUAAAUCCAUUUUUGGCAGGCUUUGCUUUUUGGCAGAGC
This 116-nucleotide small nuclear RNA is filed under the name Anabas testudineus (climbing perch). RNAcentral's name for it is "U5 spliceosomal RNA (ENSATEG00000022316.2)". It matches the Rfam family "U5 spliceosomal RNA". Rfam says of the family: U5 RNA is a component of both types of known spliceosome. The record is from RNAcentral. Lineage: Eukaryota; Metazoa; Chordata; Actinopteri; Anabantiformes; Anabantidae.